Molecule: long non-coding RNA, 905 nt
Filed under: Homo sapiens (human)
Lineage: Eukaryota; Metazoa; Chordata; Mammalia; Primates; Hominidae
Description: novel transcript
Source: RNAcentral
ACUCUUGCCCAGGUAGUCAUGGUUCCUAAUGCGGGGCUCUGCUCUGCCACUCAGUGGAUGCCCUUGACCCCUCCCCCCGCCGUGGCUUUUCCCAGAGCCCAUCCUCACACCUGCCUGAGCCCCUUUUCCGAGGGCACCUGUUUCCUGCCAGGACCUGGGCUGUGGUCCAUGAUCCCUCACUUCCUAUUGCGCAUUUGGAUGUGCUGUUGAGGGUCCUACGCCUACUCUUAACUUCUGCCUACAAUCAAACCCAAAGGUUAAAAGCUUUGAACUUUUCCUACUCUCAAAAUUGUACCAGCUAUUCAUAUAUUCGUCAGCCCAGUUUUUGGCAAAGGUGAUUUAAAUUUGCUGUUUAAAAGGUUUAAAGAAAAAGAUGAAAAUUGGAUUAUUGAAGAGGAAGAGUGUGAUGAUUAAUAUUGAAUGUCAACUUGUUUGGAUCGAAGGAUGCAGUACUGUUCCUAGGUGUGUCUGUGAGGGUGUGGCCUAAGGAGAUUAACAUUUGAGUCAGUGGACUGGGAGAAGCAGACCGACCCUCAGUCUGGGCGGGCACCAUCUAAUCAGCUGCCAGCGUGACUAGGAUAAAGCAGACAGAAGUUGGAAAGAGCAGACUGGCUGUGUCUUCCAGCCUCCGUCUUUCUCCUGUGCUGGAUGCUUCCUGCCCUCGAACAUGGGACUGCAAGUUCUUCAGCUUUUGGACUCUUGGACUUAUACCGCUGGUUUGUCAGGGACUCUCAGGCCUUUGGCCACAGACUGAAGGCUGCACUGUUGGCUUCCCUACUGUUGAGGUUUUGGGGCUCCGACUGGCUUCCCUGCUCCUCAGCGUGCAGAUGGUCUAUUGUGGGACUUCACCUCGUGAUCGUGUGAGUCAGUUCUCCUUAAUAAACUCCCCGUCAUGUAUACAUCUA